Molecule: non-coding RNA, 1064 nt
Filed under: Pongo abelii (Sumatran orangutan)
Lineage: Eukaryota; Metazoa; Chordata; Mammalia; Primates; Hominidae
Source: RNAcentral
GUGCGAGGGAGUGCGCGCGGGUGGGACCGCCGGGGGCUGGUGGGGCCCGCGCCCUGGGACGAGCCCCUCGUGCUCUGGCUCUGCGCUCCCGCAGCGCCCAGGCAGCCGAGAGGAGUGGGUGAUGACUUCGUGACCUCAACGUCCUUCCCCGUCCCUCGACAUGUUCCCGCGCCUGAAAGGUGCAGAAAACUCCCCCCACCGCUCUGGACGAGACUGAGCUAGGCGUCGAGGGCGGGCGCCGCCGCAGACCGAAGCUCGGGCUCGCUGGCCGCUCAGGCGCCGCGGUGUGGAGGGAACGGACGCGCGGCAAGGCGACCCGCUCUGGGCAACGCGGGCGCAGCUGCCCCGACGCAAGGCACUGACUGGUCGGAGGCUCGUGCGAGCCGGGGCCGGCGUGCCGGGGCGUGCGCUCUCUCUCGGCAGGCGAGCGCCGGGCUCCGCGGAGGUCCCUGCGCCCCCUGCCUCCCUACUGCCUGCUUCUCCGCCCAGCGACCCCGAGCCCCCAGGCUGCGGUACGCCAGGCAAGACGUGACCGAGAGCGGAAGACCCGAGCGGCAGGGAGGCAGAAAGAAAAGAGUGAGAGGCAGAAGGAAGAAAGAGGAGAAAGAGAUGAGAAGACAAAUGUCUUUCCCUUCUUGAAGAGGUGGUCCUGACUACUGCUCAACCACAGCCUACUGAAAGAGCCCUGGAAAAUCUGAGUUCUAGAUCUGCCUGUACCACUGUGGGACCCAAGCAAAGGACUGGGAGACAGAAGCCUUCAGUUUGAAUUUCAGAUUCUUGAAAACUAACUUUCUCAAUCAUGUUCUUGGGAAAGUAACUAUGUGUUCAUUUCUAAGAAUCAUGUGAAGGUGGCUCUGUCUACUGAGAAUCUACUUCAAAUCCAUGCUACUAAAAUGGAGCUAAUAUGCGUCAUUUCCUCAGCUAUAAUUUGAGGAGGUUAAUAAUUGUUAAAUCACUAGACUGCUAUAAGGUUUGCCCAUAAACAUUGUAAAUAAUGUAUUCAAAAUUAUUAAAAUGUUACAAUAUAGACAAGAGUGUGAUAUAAUAAAAUGUAAUUAUAUAAA